Molecule: ribosomal RNA, 468 nt
Filed under: uncultured bacterium
Lineage: Bacteria
Description: partial 16S ribosomal RNA
Rfam family: Bacterial small subunit ribosomal RNA
Source: RNAcentral
GACGAACGCUGGCGGCGUGCUUAACACAUGCAAGUCGAACGGAUAGGCCCUGCUUUUUUGUGGUUCUCGAGUGGCGAACGGGUGAGUAACACGUGAGUAACCUUCCCUUGACUUUGGGAUAACUUCAGGCAACUGGUGCUAAUACCUGCUAGGUGCUCCUGCUGCAUGGUGGGGUUUGGAAAUUUUAGGCUGAUGGGGAUGGACGCGCGGCUUAUCAGCUUGUUGGUGGGGGAGUUGCUUACCAAGGCUUUGGCUGGUAGCCGGCAUGAGAGGGUGAACGGGGACCAUGGGACUGAGGGACGGCCCAGACUCCUACAGGAGGCAGCAGUGGGGAAUCUUGUACAAUCGGGGGAAGCCUGAUGAAGAAACGCUGCGAGCGGGAUGAAGGCCAUCGGGUUGUAAACCGCAUUAGCCUGUGACGAAGCGUGAGUGACGUUAACGGGUAAAGAAGCACCGGCUAACUACGUG